GCCUGGGUGGCUCAGUUGGUUGAGCAUCCAACUUCAGCUUGGGUCAUGAUCUCGUGGUUCGUGGGUUCGAGCCCUGUGCCAGGCU
This 85-nucleotide transfer RNA is filed under the name Felis catus (domestic cat). It matches the Rfam family "tRNA". From Rfam's summary of the family: Transfer RNA (tRNA) molecules are approximately 80 nucleotides in length. The record is from Rfam by way of RNAcentral. Lineage: Eukaryota; Metazoa; Chordata; Mammalia; Carnivora; Felidae.